RNAcentral lists this ribosomal RNA (447 nucleotides) under uncultured bacterium. Its description in RNAcentral is "bacterial SSU rRNA". It matches the Rfam family "Bacterial small subunit ribosomal RNA", at positions 355 to 825 of the family's 1533-position model. The record is from RNAcentral.
UGGGGAAUAUUGGACAAUGGGCGCAAGCCUGAUCCAGCCAUGCCGCGUGAGUGAUGAAGGCUCUAGGGUUGUAAAGCUCUUUCGCCGGGGAAGAUAAUGACGGUACCCGGAGAAGAAGCCUCGGCUAACUCCGUGCCAGCAGCCGCGGUAAUACGAAGGGAGCUAGCGUUGUUCGGAAUUACUGGGCGUAAAGCGCACGUAGGCGGAUUUUUAAGUCAGGGGUGAAAUCCCAAGGCUCAACCUUGGAACUGCCUUUGAUACUGGAAGUCUUGAGAUCGGGAGAGGUGAGUGGAAUUCCUAGUGUAGAGGUGAAAUUCGUAGAUAUUAGGAAGAACACCAGUGGCGAAGGCGGCUCACUGGCCCGAUACUGACGCUGAGGUGCGAAAGCGUGGGGAGCAAACAGGAUUAGAUACCCAGGUAGUCCCUGAGCGGGCUGGCAAGGCGCAU